Long non-coding RNA from Heterocephalus glaber (naked mole-rat), 1041 nucleotides. RefSeq lists it as uncharacterized. The record is from RefSeq and is a predicted model, not a curated record. NCBI's taxonomy places the organism in Eukaryota, Metazoa, Chordata, Mammalia, Rodentia, Bathyergidae.
GAAGACACAGAGGGGUGAUGCUGCAAUGCAGAGUCAAGUCAGAGCAGCAGAGCUGUAGAGAAAAGAAUAGGCGUGCUACUUGUGAGCAUCACAUCGUCUCUUCAGAGACAUUAGGGCAAGUGUCUUACUAGAGGUCACAAAAGGGCAUUCCAACAUGGGUGGUUUUAUGAUCACUGGCAAGUAAGAGUCAGUCUUGAGCCCAGGCCAGUACUAGCCCAGGAGAUAACAAGCCAGAUAACAAAGAUAUGAAAGGGCAAUUCCUACCCAAAGACAAUAUGUGAGGCAGUGAGUGAUGCAAUGGGCAUUUUUCCAGGAAAGGAAAGACCACGGUGAGUCCUGGACUGUGCUUGAGCUGGGCUGUUCCUGAGAUGGAGAGGCUUGCACUGAAGAGGCCUGAAUGGAGCAGAGACACCUACCUUGCCUGAGCCUUGGGUGUGUUCAGCUUCCAGAAGGGACAAAGCUCGGCCUGGCGCGUUCCUAACGGGAAUUGGCUCUAGAAGUUCCGGACUUUGUGCUUCUCACUGCUGUGCAGUAUUCCACUGUCACCCCCAAAGCCUCAUGCACUCUGAGGUGAGGCUUGUGGAAGGUGGUUGGAUUGAGAGGACACUACAGCUGACUUAGUGUUAGGAGAUGGGCCCUGAUCAGAAGAGGAGUCAUUGUGAGUAUGACCUGGAAGUGUGUACCCCCCACCCCCCGCUCCUCCCUUCUCUCUGCUUCCUGGCCACUAUGAGGUGAACAGCUUGUCCUCUACCAUGUCUCUCCGUCACGCUGUCCUGCCUUGGAGCCAGCUUACUAUGCACUGAAAUGUGAGCCAAAAUAAAGUUCUCUCCUUUUAAGUUGUAAGCAUCAGGUACUGUGUCGCAGCAAUGAGAAAGUGACUAUGACAAACAUAUGGACCAUUCUUAAAUUUGCUUGUUAUGAACCAAAUGCCUAUCUUGUGGUGAACAAAAGCACCCAUUUCUUUUGGACAUGUAUACCCAGCAGUAGACACCAUUAAACAAGGUAUAUGUAUGCCUAGUCUUAGUGGUGCUUCCAAAGCAG